AUUGAACGCUGGCGGCACGCUUAACACAUGCAAGUCGAACGGUAACAGGUCUAGCUUGCUAGAUGCUGACGAGUGGCGGACGGGUGAGUAACGCGUGGGAAUCUGCCUUCUAGUGGGGGAUAGCCCGGAGAAAUCCGGAUUAAUACCGCAUACGCCUACGGGGAAGGACCGGGUCGAGGACCUGGUACUCAAGGAGGGGCGUCAUGUCCUAUCAGCUUGUUGGUGGGGUAACGGCCUACCAAGGCUACGACGGGUAGCUGGUCUGAGAGGAUGAUCAGCCACACUGGCACUGAGAUACGGGCCAGACUCCUACGGGAGGCAGCAGUAAGGAAUAUUGCGCAAUGGGCGAAAGCCUGACGCAGCGACGCCGCGUGGGGGAUGAAGGUUUUCGGAUUGUAAACCCCUUUCAUGAGGAAAGAUAAAGUGGGUAACCACUUAGACGGUACCUCAAGAAGAAGCCACGGCUAACUUCGUG
RNAcentral lists this ribosomal RNA (475 nucleotides) under uncultured bacterium. Its description in RNAcentral is "bacterial SSU rRNA". It matches the Rfam family "Bacterial small subunit ribosomal RNA", at positions 30 to 507 of the family's 1533-position model. The record is from RNAcentral.